Molecule: ribosomal RNA, 440 nt
Filed under: uncultured bacterium
Lineage: Bacteria
Description: partial 16S ribosomal RNA
Rfam family: Bacterial small subunit ribosomal RNA
Source: RNAcentral
CCUACGGGUGGCUGCAGUGGGGAAUAUUGGACAAUGGGCGCAAGCCUGAUCCAGCCAUGCCGCGUGAGUGAUGAAGGCCCUAGGGUUGUAAAGCUCUUUCAACGGUGAAGAUAAUGACGGUAACCGUAGAAGAAGCCCCGGCUAACUUCGUGCCAGCAGCCGCGGUAAUACGAAGGGGGCUAGCGUUGUUCGGAAUUACUGGGCGUAAAGCGCACGUAGGCGGAUCGAUCAGUUAGGGGUGAAAUCCCGGGGCUCAACCCCGGAACUGCCUCUAUUACUGUCGAUCUCGAGUUCGAGAGAGGUGAGUGGAAUUCCGAGUGUAGAGGUGAAAUUCGUAGAUAUUCGGAGGAACACCAGUGGCGAAGGCGGCUCACUGGCUCGAUACUGACGCUGAGGUGCGAAAGCGUGGGGAGCAAACAGGAUUAGAUACCCCUGUAGUC